UGUGUGUGUGUGUGUUUGUUUAACUUGUGGACAAAGACUUAAUUGACAGGUGCAAAAAUUAAAUCCUCUUUUGCAACCCAGAACUCAAAAUUGUACAGUAUGAGUUUUGAUACACAUUAGAAGGAAUAUG
Molecule: small nucleolar RNA, 130 nt
Filed under: Castor canadensis (American beaver)
Lineage: Eukaryota; Metazoa; Chordata; Mammalia; Rodentia; Castoridae
Description: Small nucleolar RNA SNORA40 (ENSCCNG00000011660.1)
Rfam family: Small nucleolar RNA SNORA40
About the family: The snoRNA ACA 40 belongs to the H/ACA family of snoRNAs and guides the pseudouridylation of 28S rRNA subunit at position U4565. NB This family has a high threshold value to exclude a large number of closely related sequences that do not appear to have conserved H and ACA boxes, and may be pseudogenes.
Source: Rfam by way of RNAcentral